UCCAGAACGAGACCCUCGGAUUGGACACUGAAUUAAAUAGUUAUCAACGGGGAAAUCUGUUUACAGACCCUGGUAGGAUCAAAGCAUUCAGUCAAUUGCCUUGAGAUUGUCUAUUCAUCUUCUGGUUUGCCUUUGAUGCCCUGGAGACCAUGAUAAACAGUUUCUAAUUCAGCCAUAAAUCCUGACCCAAAUUAGCCAAAUGUUCGCAUCACUUGCAAACAAGUCUCCGACAUCAUGAUCUCGCAAUUCCAUUCAAAUUUGGCGUUUCUAACAUUGGCAUUGCUUACGGGAUUUUGGAGGCGCCAGACAAAGUUCAAAGCUGGCUUUAUGGACCUCGGUGGAGCCCGAAUCCUUGGCUCGAAGCAGCACAUUUAAACCCGUCCCCCCUUCUGAAUAUAAUUCACCGGCUCUCAAACAAUAAUCAUAGAGAUAACAAUGAGCCCCAUUUGGCUACUUGUCUUUGGUGCUCAUUAUUGUACCUCACCACUCCCCAAGAUUGUGGAUGGCUAGGAACUGUGGAAGUCUGGGAGCAAGAGAGAGAUGGUGCUUGGCCAAGUUGGAGCCAUUCCAAGCGUUUACAAUCCUCGACUCCAGAAAAGAUGUCAAUCCUUGGGAUUCUCUAAUGAGGCCCAUCCAUGGGAAAAAAUCCAGAACUAUUUGAAUUUACAAGAAAGGAGUUGGUUGUGAUCUACAGCGUCCAUCGUUGGACCGAAAGCGAAGGAUAUCGAACCUGCGAGGGUGCUGAGACGGCUUCCUAGCUCUAGAGAUAGCGGCCAUUUCGAAGGCAAAGACAGGGAUGUCCGCCAUCAUGAGGGUUCAACACCCGGUUUUUAUGUGCUCUGACCCUCCGCCGAAUUCUCGUCCCUAGUUGGCCAAUUCCGAAAAUCCGUCCCCACAUCUUCGAUGCUACUGAUACCGGAUCCAAGGCUUCACGAGCUUCGCUGGAAACGAUUACUCAAAUCCAAAUCUUAACUUGCAGCUUAAGUUCGAGACCUGAAUGUUGGCAUGGAGACUGGAACGCAUGCACUCACACACACAGAGCAAAGUAACAACAUGGGUUGUGGACAAAACCAGAUUUGGUCGCAGAGUUAAGUUAAGAAUUUCGAUCAAAGAUCUCAACUUCGACUCCUGUGACUGGGACGGAUUUUUGAUGUUUCAACUAUUUUCCAUAGAGUUGCCGCCGGUCCGGAUUGGUCUUGACUACGAAAUGAGUGGAAACAUAUGUGUGAGUAUUUAUGCCCGAAUGCGUGAAUCAUUUUGUGUCCCGUAGGUGGUCCAAUUCCUCAAUGCAAUAGCCCUUUCAUGAUCUUCUUGCCCUUCCCAUUACUUGAUUGGUUUAGACGGAAACCAGAGAGAUUUAACCAGUUUUGCCCCUUGACCGCUCCCGACAUAUCAUUAAACAAAAUCCAUUUGAGGAUUAGACCUGGAUAUCAUAUCCAUCCCACCUACUUGUCCUCCCAAUCAUUCGGUUUGGUUAGCUUCCAAAACAUCCCGAGAUUUACAGUGUAAGAAGUCAACGAAUUAGAUGACAAGAACCAUGUAUGAUAGAAAGAAAAAGAGAGAGAAAGAGUAGAAAAAAGA
Tigriopus californicus is the source of this 1581-nucleotide long non-coding RNA. RefSeq lists it as uncharacterized. The transcript is spliced from 3 exons. NCBI's taxonomy places the organism in Eukaryota, Metazoa, Arthropoda, Copepoda, Harpacticoida, Harpacticidae. The record is from RefSeq and is a predicted model, not a curated record.